GAUGAACGCCGGCGGCGCGCCUAACACAUGCAAGUCGAACGGAGCUUAGAGAGCUUGCUUUUUAAGCUUAGUGGCGAACGGGUGAGUAACGCGUGAGUAACCUGCCCUAGAGUGGGGGACAACAGUUGGAAACGACUGCUAAUACCGCAUAAGCCCACGGUACCGCAUGGUACUGAGGGAAAAGGAUUUAUUCGCUUUAGGAUGGACUCGCGUCCAAUUAGCUAGUUGGUGAGGUAACGGCCCACCAAGGCGACGAUUGGUAGCCGGACUGAGAGGUUGAACGGCCACAUUGGGACUGAGACACGGCCCAGACUCCUACGGGAGGCAGCAGUGGGGGAUAUUGCACAAUGGGGGAAACCCUGAUGCAGCGACGCCGCGUGGAGGAAGAAGGUUUUCGGAUUGUAAACUCCUGUCGUUAGGGACGAUAAUGACGGUACCUAACAAGAAAGCACCGGCUAACUACGUG
This 466-nucleotide ribosomal RNA is filed under the name uncultured bacterium. RNAcentral's name for it is "bacterial SSU rRNA". It matches the Rfam family "Bacterial small subunit ribosomal RNA", at positions 28 to 507 of the family's 1533-position model. The record is from RNAcentral.